Alligator mississippiensis (American alligator) is the source of this 286-nucleotide long non-coding RNA. RefSeq lists it as uncharacterized. The transcript has 3 exons. Lineage: Eukaryota; Metazoa; Chordata; Crocodylia; Alligatoridae. The record is from RefSeq and is a predicted model, not a curated record.
CUCGGCCCUGGGCAACAGGACCCGUGCGCAUCGCGCGCUGCAGGGACUGUGGGCUCUGCACCGCACGAUCCACCCUGCUGUUGGGGAGCAGUGGAGGAUCAAGAUCCCCAUCCUGCUCAUGACUAUGGAAGGAACUGCUCAGACCUGCCAGGACAACGUGUGGUGGGAGCACCUGCUGCUGAAGUUCCUGAACAGGACACUGCAGACCAUCGAUGACGAUGCCUGGAGCAGAGAGCUGAUCCUGGAGCUGCAGCUGCAGACGGCCAGCUACGCCUGCUCCUCUCCG